CAGUCGCCGCGGUAAUACGUAGGUGGCAAGCGUUGUCCGGAAUUAUUGGGCGUAAAGGGCUCGCAGGCGGUUUCUUAAGUCUGAUGUGAAAGCCCCCGGCUCAACCGGGGAGGGUCAUUGGAAACUGGGAAACUUGAGUGCAGAAGAGGAGAGUGGAAUUCCACGUGUAGCGGUGAAAUGCGUAGAGAUGUGGAGGAACACCAGUGGCGAAGGCGACUCUCUGGUCUGUAACUGACGCUGAGGCGCGAAAGCGUGGGGAGCAAACCGGAUUAGAUACCCGCGUAGUCCCUGUCUCUUAUAC
Molecule: ribosomal RNA, 301 nt
Filed under: uncultured bacterium
Lineage: Bacteria
Description: partial 16S ribosomal RNA
Rfam family: Bacterial small subunit ribosomal RNA
Source: RNAcentral